CCUACGGGUGGCUGCAGUGGGGGAUAUUGCACAAUGGGCGCAACCCUGAUGCAGCGACGCCGCGUGGGUGAAGGAGCGUUUCGGCGCGUAAAGCUCUAUCGGCAGGGAAGAAGAUGACGGUACCUGACCAAGAAGCCCCGGCUAACUACUUGCCAGCAGCCGCGGUCAUACGUAGGGGGAACGCGUUAGCCGGAUUGACUGGGUGUAAAGGGGGCGCAGACGGCAAUGCAAGCCAGGAGUGAAAGCCCGGGGCCCAACCCCGGGACUGCUCUUGAAACUGCAUGGCUGGAGUACAGGAGGGGCAGGCGGAAUUCCUAGUGUAGCGGUGAAAUGCGUAGAUAUUAGGAGGAACACCGGUGGCGAAGGCGGCCUGCUGGACUGUGACUGACGUUGAGGCCCGAAGGCGUGGGGAGCAAACAGGAUUAGAUACCCUUGUAGUC
This 440-nucleotide ribosomal RNA is filed under the name uncultured bacterium. RNAcentral describes it as "partial 16S ribosomal RNA". It matches the Rfam family "Bacterial small subunit ribosomal RNA", at positions 338 to 795 of the family's 1533-position model. The record is from RNAcentral.